AAUGGGUCAGCGACUUAUAUUCUGUAGCAAGGUUAACCGAAUAGGGGAGCCGAAGGGAAACCGAGUCUUAACUGGGCGUUAAGUUGCAGGGUAUAGACCCGAAACCCGGUGAUCUAGCCAUGGGCAGGUUGAAGGUUGGGUAACACUAACUGGAGGACCGAACCGACUAAUGUUGAAAAAUUAGCGGAUGACUUGUGGCUGGGGGUGAAAGGCCAAUCAAACCGGGAGAUAGCUGGUUCUCCCCGAAAGCUAUUUAGGUAGCGCCUCGUGAAUUCAUCUCCGGGGGUAGAGCACUGUUUCGGCAAGGGGGUCAUCCCGACUUACCAACCCGAUGCAAACUGCGAAUACCGGAGAAUGUUAUCACGGGAGACACACGGCGGGUGCUAACGUCCGUCGUGAAGAGGGAAACAACCCAGACCGCCAGCUAAGGUCCCAAAGUCAUGGUUAAGUGGGAAACGAUGUGGGAAGGCCCAGACAGCCAGGAUGUUGGCUUAGAAGCAGCCAUCAUUUAAAGAAAGCGUAAUAGCUCACUGGUCGAGUCGGCCUGCGCGGAAGAUGUAACGGGGCUAAACCAUGCACCGAAGCUGCGGCAGCGACGCUUAUGCGUUGUUGGGUAGGGGAGCGUUCUGUAAGCCUGUGAAGGUGUACUGUGAGGUAUGCUGGAGGUAUCAGAAGUGCGAAUGCUGACAUAAGUAACGAUAAAGCGGGUGAAAAGCCCGCUCGCCGGAAGACCAAGGGUUCCUGUCCAACGUUAAUCGGGGCAGGGUGAGUCGACCCCUAAGGCGAGGCCGAAAGGCGUAGUCGAUGGGAAACAGGUUAAUAUUCCUGUACUUGGUGUUACUGCGAAGGGGGGACGGAGAAGGCUAUGUUGGCCGGGCGACGGUUGUCCCGGUUUAAGCGUGUAGGCUGGUUUUCCAGGCAAAUCCGGAAAAUCAAGGCUGAGGCGUGAUGACGAGGCACUACGGUGCUGAAGCAACAAAUGCCCUGCUUCCAGGAAAAGCCUCUAAGCAUCAGGUAACAUCAAAUCGUACCCCAAACCGACACAGGUGGUCAGGUAGAGAAUACCAAGGCGCUUGAGAGAACUCGGGUGAAGGAACUAGGCAAAAUGGUGCCGUAACUUCGGGAGAAGGCACGCUGAUACGUAGGUGAAGUCCCUUGCGGAUGGAGCUGAAAUCAGUCGAAGAUACCAGCUGGCUGCAACUGUUUAUUAAAAACACAGCACUGUGCAAACACGAAAGUGGACGUAUACGGUGUGACGCCUGCCCGGUGCCGGAAGGUUAAUUGAUGGGGUUAGCGGUAACGCGAAGCUCUUGAUCGAAGCCCCGGUAAACGGCGGCCGUAACUAUAACGGUCCUAAGGUAGCGAAAUUCCUUGUCGGGUAAGUUCCGACCUGCACGAAUGGCGUAAUGAUGGCCAGGCUGUCUCCACCCGAGACUCAGUGAAAUUGAACUCGCUGUGAAGAUGCAGUGUACCCGCGGCAAGACGGAAAGACCCCGUGAACCUUUACUAUAGCUUGACACUGAACAUUGAGCCUUGAUGUGUAGGAUAGGUGGGAGGCUUUGAAGUGUGGACGCCAGUCUGCAUGGAGCCGACCUUGAAAUACCACCCUUUAAUGUUUGAUGUUCUAACGUUGGCCCCUAAUCGGGGUUGCGGACAGUGUCUGGUGGGUAGUUUGACUGGGGCGGUCUCCUCCUAAAGAGUAACGGAGGAGCACGAAGGUUGGCUAAUCCUGGUCGGACAUCAGGAGGUUAGUGCAAUGGCAUAAGCCAGCUUGACUGCGAGCGUGACGGCGCGAGCAGGUGCGAAAGCAGGUCAUAGUGAUCCGGUGGUUCUGAAUGGAAGGGCCAUCGCUCAACGGAUAAAAGGUACUCCGGGGAUAACAGGCUGAUACCGCCCAAGAGUUCAUAUCGACGGCGGUGUUUGGCACCUCGAUGUCGGCUCAUCACAUCCUGGGGCUGAAGUAGGUCCCAAGGGUAUGGCUGUUCGCCAUUUAAAGUGGUACGCGAGCUGGGUUUAGAACGUCGUGAGACAGUUCGGUCCCUAUCUGCCGUGGGCGCUGGAGAACUGAGGGGGGCUGCUCCUAGUACGAGAGGACCGGAGUGGACGCAUCACUGGUGUUCGGGUUGUCAUGCCAAUGGCACUGCCCGGUAGCUAAAUGCGGAAGAGAUAAGUGCUGAAAGCAUCUAAGCACGAAACUUGCCCCGAGAUGAGUUCUCCCUGACUCCUUGAGAGUCCUGAAGGAACGUUGAAGACGACGACGUUGAUAGGCCGGGUGUGUAAGCGCAGCGAUGCGUUGAGCUAACCGGUACUAAUGAACCGUGAGGCUUAACCUU
This 2333-nucleotide ribosomal RNA is filed under the name Escherichia coli. RNAcentral's name for it is "partial 23S ribosomal RNA". It matches the Rfam family "Bacterial large subunit ribosomal RNA", at positions 614 to 2925 of the family's 2925-position model. Lineage: Bacteria; Pseudomonadati; Pseudomonadota; Gammaproteobacteria; Enterobacterales; Enterobacteriaceae. The record is from RNAcentral.